This 6120-nucleotide long non-coding RNA is filed under the name Gallus gallus (chicken). Lineage: Eukaryota; Metazoa; Chordata; Aves; Galliformes; Phasianidae. The record is from RNAcentral.
GUGUAUGACCAUAGCAAGACUGGGUACUGCUUUUUUUUAUAGUUGUUUUGGAUGUGAUUUUGUAAUAGGCAUGAAAUCUAAUAGAUCCUGCUAUGGCUGUUUUAUCAAAUCACAUAGAAAUUCCAUUGAUUGGUUCUGCAGAACCUUCUAAAUAGAGACAUAUAACAGCUAUUGUCAAGUACUGCAGUAUUUGGAGAAUAUAUUCACAAUAAGCAUACCUGAAGCUGUCUUUUCUCAUUUCAGCGUUUAAUAUAUGCUAUUACACUAUUCUCUACUGAUGUAAUGAGGUGGCAAAUGCUGUUUUAAAUUUUCUGUCCUGAGUCUUCUGUUGUUGCUAAAAUUUUCCAAAAAUGCCCAGAGAGGACAGGACAGCAGAGGUAGGAACAGAAGUCUUGUGCUCAGAGGCAAUGAGAAAGACAGAUUUAGAAGACCGACAGAUUAGAAAAGCUAGAAAUUAUAUGCAUUAUGAAGCUCAAGCAUUCUUUCUCAUAGGCCUGAUUUAUUAUGAUAAAACUCCUGCCUGUAGGUGAAUUAUUGAAGAGCUAAGAAGGAAAUUACACCAGCAUCAAUUGCUGUGCCCUGAGCUGGAUCUGGCAUCAAUUUCUGUUGUGCACUUCAACAGGAUCCGGUACUAUUUCUCCCAGGGAUUUUCCUCAGAUGGGUGGCACUCCUGAAGAGAAAGAAGCAAUAUGAGCUAGAGAAGGAAUUCCAUGUAUCACGAGCCAUUAGGGCGACUCUUCCAUUUCCUCUACAGAAAAGCUUCCUAACUGGUUGAGCCUUUGUUAUUGUCAAUGAUACCAUUGCAGUCAGAGCUGAAUGUACAUUUCUUUGCAUCUGCAUGAGCCUUAAAAAGUAGAAAAUCUUGCCCCAGGUACCUUAUUCAUGGUAGUGGAGCUCACAAUGUUUUCAUUUCUUCUUAGUAUCAUUUCAUCCAAAAUGAUAGUUUUCAACAGUUAGUUGAUAGUUUUAGAAUUCCACCUAAUAAGAGAAAUGUAAAUUCUCUUGUAUCUUGUAUAAUUACUGGGAAAAUCUAAUGAUGGCAUUGAGUCCUGCUUAUUUCUUGCCUUGUACCAUUUGUUGCAGAGGUAAGAAGUACGGGUGCAGGCAAUUGUGAGACAUAGAUAUGAUACUUGCUUACCAUUAAGAACAUAGUUACUGUUCUGCAUUCAAAACUUGCUUCAUGUUGAAUUUUUUAAUGGGUCUUUCCUAGUCUAUAGAAAAAUGUUCUAAAAGUCUUUGGAGAGAGAGAUUUAUAGAGUAAUGAUGGGCUCCUGUAGAAAUUUCACUCUCCGUGAACUGUCAUUUUCUGACUUUAAAAUAUAUUUUUUGUUGGAAUAUCUUGUUCAGUCUUCAUGAAAUUGGAGACGUGAUUUGGUACUUAAUCUGGUCGUGUGAUGGUUGUCAGCCGUAUUUUAGUGUUGUCAAUUCUUAAUAGAUUGUUCCAUUUUUUUUCACAAAUGCCCUGGAAUUCACAAUGAACUUUUAGAAAGUAGUUUUCUAGAACCUUUUCCUGAUGCUUCUUUUAUGCAAGUGCUUCAUUUUCUCUCUAAGUGGUUCCUACUAGGAAUGUAAUGUCUGCAGGAAAUGUUUCUUUGUCAUGUUCUGCGGUAAAGAUCAAUGCAAAGAAGUCAUUUAUUUUAUCUGUAGUAUCCAUUAUUGAUGCCUGAUCUUUUAGUGGAAUGUCUGAUUCUUUCAUAGGCUUCCUGUGAAAUACACUUAAAUGCCUUGUUUAUUGCCUUUAGCUAAUAGCUUUUAAAAUUCUCCUGGUUUCCUGAGUUAUUUGCUUGGGAUAUAUUUCAUUUUUGAAAGGAUAUGUUGUCAUUUAGCUUCCUGUUUUCCCCUGUUACAUUCUCUCUCAGUGAGAGAAUUCCAUACUUCCAUAGAUUGCCUUGCAGUGUCAUUCAAACUAUUUAUAUUUUACGCUCUUACACUUUUCCAUUCCUUUCCCCUUCCUUUUUUCAAGACUCGUGAGUCUUUCACAAGUUUUAUUUGCAAUGCGUAUUGACUUCCUUUUUCCUCCUGUUUUGAAUCAGCUCAGCUUUUUUGUUUUUCUUUGAGAACUGAGUUAAAACUGAUGUCCCUUUUAUUUUGUUAUUUUCUUUCUGUCCCCUUGCUGUUCCAAGAAGGAGCUGUUCAAGGUCCUGACGUUUUUCAGAGGCGAUCAGCUCCAGGUCUGGCACAUUCAGUGGUGGAACAGGGAAGCCCAGCGAAGUGGGACCCCAGGGUGAGGGAAGACCUGAAUGGAGCUGGUACUAUGUUUUGCUGCUAGAAGUAAAAAAAUAAGACUAUCAGAAUAUAUUCACGUUUUUUGCCUUUUGCUAUAGUCUCUGAUCAUCAUGUGGCCACAGUGGAUUAGUUUUUUUUUCUGUAUUUCAGAUGGGGAAUUACCAAGUUAUACACUCUCCUCUGAGUCUUUCCUCACCUUAUUUUGCAAGAAAAUGUUUGAAGAUUAUUUUCAGUGCAAACCAAAUUCAAGUUUCUGUCUGAUACCGUUUUCAUGUGCUCAUUGCUUUCAAAUUAUAAUUUCUUGUAUUAUCUUUAUAUAUAGAGAUCCUAUUUUGUUAGACAUGGAGAUAAGAUAUUAGAGAAUAAUUCUCUGAAAUGUUUUCCUAAAGCAAUAAGGAUAUAAAUCUAUAUAUAUCAAAUAUAUAUAUCUAUGCAUAUCAAAUUCUUGUGAUUGCUCAAAUUACAAUCUUGAUAUGACUGUACUGCAUAAAUAUGGAAUUUUCCAAAGCAUUCCUUGGUGAUCAAGUCCAUGAAUUCAUGCAGUCUGCUCUCCUAAUAAGCAGGGAGCUGAAACAUGGAAAGUAAUGUAAGGAAGAACUUCUUUACUCUGAGUGCCACAGCCCUGGAGCAGGCUGCCCAGAGAGGUUGUGGAAUCUGCUUCUCUGGAGAUAUACAAGAUCUGCCUGAAUUCCUACCAGUGUGACCUGCUCUAGGGAGCCUGCUUUAGCAGGAGGGUUGGACUCUGUGUUCUCUCAGGUCCCUUCCAGCCCCUACAAUUAUGUGGUUCUGUGAAGUCCUUAUCCUCUGUGUUGUCUGCUAGUUAAAUUUUGGCUGUGGAUACUUCAGGGGCUUUGUUUUGCAUCUCUCUGCCUGACUGUGUGAGAGCUGGAUUACCAAUUAUGUGAAUGUUUUGUUGAACAAACAGUAUUCAGAGCAGUUUUACUUUCUGAUGAAGGAUCAGUUUCAUGUUGAUUCCUUCAUUCCAAAUACAACGUCCUCAUCGGGAGGGGAUGCCAAGGAUGUUUUGAUACGAUUUUCCAUUAUUUACAACUUUUCACUUCUCUUCUGUUAUAAUAGUUUCAAUUUGCAGCUGCUACAUUUGUCUUCUGAGGAUCAAAUAGAUCACUGAGAUAGCAGACUAAAUAGACCUAUCCUUUGCGUAUAGGGUAGUUUCUGUCUGGAUUCAGAUCUAAUUGUCUUUUGAGCAUAUGUUAUGUUUCUUGGUUACAUGUACUGCUGCACUUCUACCUUGGAAAUCUGUUUUUUUAUGGGCUUAUGUUUCUAAUUUCUCCAAGAGAUAAACUGUUUCUAGUGGUUAACCAGUUAUUUAGUGACUUUACUUAAUUUGAGACUGUUACCUAGUACUAUUAAAUUCUAUCAUAAUAUUAAAAUUUGGUGAAGGGGAUAUGUAUGCUGAAUGUCAGUUAUCUUCAAAAAAUUUGUUCCAUCAUUUUAAAAGGGAUCAAAUUUUCAUUUAAAAAUAAGUUACGUUGGCUUUUUGAUUCUUUUCUGCUUCCCAACGAACAAAUAAAACUGCCCUCAGUAUAUGCUCUUUCAUAUCUUCAUCAGUGACAUUGACAGUGGGAUCUAGUUCACCCUGCAUGUGUCUGCAGAUGACACGGAGCUGUGUGGUGUAGUGGAAAUGCUAAGUCACAGCCUGAAGCAGUGAUUGAGCACCUGGUGGGAAGGCAGGCAGGAACCCAUGGGAGCUCAGGUGCAAGCAGUGCAAAUGAGUGACUGGAAGUGCUGGAGCCAGGAUCGACCCCUUCCCAGACUUCAUUGAAGGGUUAGCUGUGGAGGUGAGGGCUUUUCUUGCUGGAGAUCCCUGCCUACCUGAGGCCUUGCAGAGGUAAGCAUCUCUUUUCAUUUAUUUCUGUAUCUGGUUGCUCCAUUUGGGCUUGUUCUCAUUUGCUGCAGCCAAAGACUUUGCCACCCUGCUGUUACUGUGGCACUUUACGUCCCAUUAUAGCAUUACAGGCGUAGUCUACAUGCCUGAGGGAUGGGAUGCCAUUCAGAAAGAUUUAGACAGGCUCAAGCAGCGGGCUCAGGAGAAGAUCAUGAAGUUGAACAAAUCCAGUCCUCUUGUCCUAAAAUGCUAUUUUAAUCUUAGUCUUAGAGCCUUAUUAAUUUCUAUCAACUUCAUACUGCUUUAGCCAUUCUCAUUCUAGGUGAAACAAUCAAGAUUUUGACAAGGUGAAAAAAAUAGUGUGUUUUUUUUUAUUUUUCUGCUUAUCUGAAAUGAUGUGAGCACUGAAAUUUUGAUGAAUCAUUUUUAAUAACCUUUUAAAACUGUAUAUGUAUAUAUAUGGAGAGAUCAUAGUGCAAAGCAAAACUGAAGCAUUGUAGUUGUCUCUUAAUUUUCUCUUAAUUUAAUUUUAGUUGUAGUUGUCUCUUAAUUUUCAUGAUUUGUAAGAUUUUUUUAAAUUAGGAUGCUCUGUAUUCCUUUUUUCCUUCACAGCACAGAGAACACAGGAAAAUCUAGAUCUUACAUUGGUUUUAUCGAUCUGAUUUAUGCAUUUUUUUUUUACUGGAUUUAUAAGUUGUAUUGCAUUGUAUGAUCUCUAAUGGCUCACAGGUUGAAUAACAUUAGGAAGCAUUAAAGACCUGGUUUGAUGUCAAGUUUAAUGCUCUUCCUAAGAGCAAUUUGUAGAGAUUAGGAUUUAGUGAGACAUCACUGGAGGAUUAGCGAUUGCUUCUUAAGGCAUUCUGAGUUGACAGCUAAUGGAUAGCUUUCCCUGAUAGCUCUUUUAUAGUCCAGUGCAGCUGGAUAAAAAUCAAUGAGAAAGUGAACUUAAUUUUGUUUAUCCAUUAAUUUUGGUUUUAACAGAUGAGUUCAGCUGCCUUAGUAACUUGUUUAGUAUAUUGUCCCCAUCUAUCACAAUCUAGAUAACCUCAAUUAACACACUGAUUAAUCCUCAAAUUCUUCUUCACUUGUUCCCUUCUCGACUGCAUGAUGUGAGGGAAACUGUUUGCAGCAGGUCUGAGAGGACAGAGCGUAUAUUCCUGAAUGCCCACAUAAUAAGCAGAUUGGGAAGAAACGUAGCUCCUUUCUCUUGAGGUUUCCUGCCCUCCCUGUGUGUAUAUGAGAACUGUAAUUAAGUUAGUUUCUGUAUUUGCUUUUCUUAAUUUGUUCUACUUUUUGUUGUUAUUUAAAUGUAAAACUAAUAGUUACCUUGAGCUCUAUUAGUAGCUGGGGACUCCAAAGUGCAAUUCAGAUGUCAUCGUGGAAAUACCAAGCAGGAUACAAAAUGGCUUAAUUUUAAAAGAUAAAUGAAUGAAAGUGGAAAAACCCCUACCCCUAGCAGGAUCUAGCUAUGCAGCUUCCUUAGUGGUCCAGGCAGGAUUAAGGACAGAAGGUUUUAGCAAGAAAUUUAUGAAGCUCCUGCAUGUGUAUGCUCAGUGAAUAGCAUUUAGGGAAGGCUUAAUAGAAAAAGAUCUAGGCAGCAAUUUUUUAAAUUCAAGAAAUGAAUGCAUGGGAGAGCUGUUACAGAAGACUAAAAAUAAUCGUUUCUACACUACAAAAAUAUUCUGGUUUAUACUUGUGAAAUUUAACUUUGAAUUAAGAAUGAUCCAGAGUUAUACUUCCUCACCAAGCGAGAGCCUCUAGGCUGCUCUCGUUGCUAGAACCAUUUCUCAUCCUAUCGUUUGAUAAUGCUGCUGCUGUGAUACAGCUAGCAGGGCUACACCUGACAAAUUAGUGUAGAAACAGCUUGAGAAUGUGCAUUUAUUUUUACGGGUUGUGUUUCUGUUUCAUUUGUACGUUUAUUUGUGUCUUGAUAGUGGAUGUUCUUUCAAAUACAGCGUGAACCAGACAGUAAAUAUAAACUCAUUGCAUCUGGGUGAAAUAUCAGUGUGUGGCUCUCAUUGAUCCCGUCUGUUAUCCCACCCAGCCUG